Molecule: long non-coding RNA, 3176 nt
Organism: Gavialis gangeticus (Gharial)
Lineage: Eukaryota; Metazoa; Chordata; Crocodylia; Gavialidae
Exons: 2
Source: RefSeq, a predicted model, not a curated record
CCACUGGGGUGAGACGUAUCUGCGUCUGGCUUGAGCCUAUCACAAACCCUCUUGCCCCUGCAGUAGACAUCUCUUCCAUCUAUUUGUCCUAUCCCCUUUCUGACACUAGGUCAAGCCCAGGACAAUUGCAGUGAGGCCUGGUGUUGGCAGUGGUAUCCUAGCAGAGAACAACAGAGGGGUGAGGGUGCUGCAGCACUACAGACUCCCUGUGCAGCUGGCGUAGGCAUAGCAGGAUGCCUGAUGCAGCCCGCUGCCUGACUUCCCAUUGGAUCCAGAGCUGCCCUGUUUCCCAGGGCCAACAAUCAAGCUGUCACAGUAAGUCCUCUGUAAACCCUUUCCAUGUUCUUUGAAGUGUAGGGCUGCCUGACAAAGGUCACGGGUGCCUUUUGUGGCUGUCCCAAAACAGCAGGUAAAGCUUUCCCAAAAAUAACCUUCAUUUGUGUUUUCACCCGUCUUUUCAUGUUGAAAGGUUCAUGUACAGAAUGAGUGACAUUCAAGUAGGGCAGUGAUGGUGCAAGUAAAAGGUGCAUAUCAUAGUUCCCUGCAUACAGCAUGCACCAACAUGUAACAUACACCUUGUUCUUGAAAGUCAGAAUGAAGAGAAAAAGAUCUUGACUUGUAGUACCUAACUGGGGAGCACAGGACGGAGUCUUAGCCCACUCAUUGCUCCACACCCUGUAGAUCACAUGAAGAUUGGACUUUUUCUUUCACUUUUGGCAGGAACUGUUCUCACCCUACGUCUUGCAUGUAAUGAACAGUGGGAUUGCCAGCAGUGUUGGUUUGUUUUGUUUGCAAAGGGGGUAUGUUGUAUUUUGAAAAAUACAGUACUUCCUACGCUGACAUCCUAACAUGCCCCUGAUCCUGGAGGACAGGAGCUGCUGGGGAGAGGGAGUGUUGCCCAGUGUCUCAGCUCUUCCCAAGUAUCCUGCAGAGCUUGAACGAGAACAGCGGGGCUAGGCUGAUCCUCUGUCAGUUUUGCUGUUUCCUAAUAUGCACUUUGCUGCAUUGGGAGUUUGAGGAAGCCCCAGUCUUAGUGGGGCGCUACAACUCAAGCCCCCAAAUUUUGGGCAGGGCAGUUAGCUCUGCUACUGCCAGUCCCACCCUGCAGACGGGCAUGCAUUCAUCCCUCAAGUGGGCUGGGGAGGGACAUGGGGCACUGUUUAAGCUGUGACCAAAGCUUACAUUGGGAAGGCUGUGGCUGGAGUGGGAGAGGAGCUUGUGUUUUUCUCUUUUUCUCUUUUGCUGAGUAUCCUGUUCCAGUUCUGGCCUCUCCUCCUGCAAGCACCAACCCCACAAGAUCCUUUCCCAAAGCUUAGAGUGAUGGGCAAAGUGUCUGUGUGUGUGUAGUCUGCAAUAUGCUGGUUACUAACAAUGGCUGCAUGAAGAAAGCUACACAGAACUAGCCCACGCAAGUGCCUUGCAGAAAGGUCUUCAUUGUCCUGAUGUGGAAAUCGCUGGGGAUUUCAUUCAUGCAGGCUUUUUGUUCUGCUUUAUUUUUCUUGCUCAUAGGCAGAGGCCUGUCCUCCCAAGGCAUCCUUGCAAGGAUCGCAACUGUGAUGUGAUGGAGAGAGGCUUGUCUGCUAUUGUUGACAUCAAGAGCAAUGCUGUCUGCGGGUCUGUACUUCUGCUAGGGUCACUUGUGUUGGCAAAGUGGACAGUGAGCUUGCCAGGCUAAGAGUGAUCCAAAAAUAAAGAUAAAAGUGAUUGAGGGUUGAGCAUGCUGAUGAAGCAAGACUAUUUCACGAUGGUGGCAGAGGCAGACGGAGACUGCAGCAGAACAGGUAUCUUCAGUGCUCUCAGUUUUCCUUGGCAUGGCAUUCAGGUUUCCUUCCUGUGAAGUACUAUGGGGUUGUUGUUGCACCAUUUCAUCCCCACGUUAAGAGAAGACGUGCACAAGCCUCUUGCUUCAAUAGCAAGUCCCACAGUGAUGGGUGAGUGGUGAUGGGGGAAGACACUAGUGAUUACCUGAAGCCCCUAGUCACGCACCUGCCCCUUGUCACAGACCUUUGCGUACAGAGACACUGACUGCACAAUAUGAUCUAAUCACAAAGCAACUGAAUGAACCAUUGAAACUUAUGACAGGAACUUUCAGAAACAGUCGUGUUCCUUGGCUGUGUCUUCUAUCUCAUACCCCUCCUCAUCUUCGACAUCAAGAGGCUAAAGAAAGAGUCUACAGAAUACUUCCUAUAUUCAAUUCACUACCAAUGUUUGAGGAACUUGAUGACCCCCAUAGGUCAAGGCUUAUGUCGAAGAAGGCCACUUUGAUAUCAAGGAAAAUGGACCCGGCAAUGCAAGACAAUUGACCUCAUUUAUACAUUUCUUAUCAUGGGCCCCACAUAUAAACCGCCUGGCUUUUCUUAACUAAGGCAGAGCUAGACUACACUGAACAGGGUGGACAACUAGCUGCUUUGUAAGUAGAAUUUUAUUAAAGAUACAAACUGGGAGUGCAGCGAGAUCCAUUGCAAAGUCCACCUCAGCACAGCUACAACCAGGGCAGCGCAGGACUCCAGCUGCCAGCACGGCCACAGCAGAAGCUCUCCUGUCGCAGCCCGCUCAGAUUUGAACAGUCCUCAGAUUCUGCUGGAUCCCUGUCGUCAACUAUCUCAGGCGGGACAUGAGAAGAAGACGAGGAGAGACCAGCCCCAAAGGCUGCUGGAUAGAUCCUUGUUUGAUCCGUUCCAUCACAUCCAUGCGUACAGCCACACACUGAUGUCACAAAAGAAGCAACUAAAGCAGAGGUUCAAUCUCAAGUGCUUGAAAAACCCUGCUAAGAGACAUCAUCUCCAGCAGCACCUCUGAGAGAAUCGUGCCAACUGUCCUGAUGCUCUUGACACCACUGAUUACUUGAGGAAGAGCAAGAGCUUCAAGAAAGGCAUCUGUGAGGCGUGGCAAAAAUCUCAAGGCUUCUCCACAAAGAAACCUCAGGACUAGUUUAAUGAGAAUGAUUGGGAAAUGCUUGCCUUCAAAAUGGACAGAGCACACAGUGACAUCAGCUCCAAAUAGAAGUACCCACAUUCAUUACCUUCAGUACAGAUCAUUCACUAGACGGCCUCUGCCACAUGGACAGUUUUGCACACGUAGGGGAAGAAUGCAUCUCCCCCUAUGUGUGUGUUAGAAAAAGCCACCAUUGAAUAGGUGUGUAAUCCAUAACAUGUAAUAAAAAGACAGGAGAAUUU